ACAGGGGUUGUUGAACUUUGAUAGGAUAUGUUUUUAAAAGUUCACUGGACUAGAAAAGAGACGGAAAGAACGCCAUGUUUUCUUUCACCUAAGAUGACAGAGGACUUUGUAGGAGAUCAUGUAAAGAAGGUGGACAGCCAUCUUGCUGGAAAGAGAGGAUGACAAGGCUUGGGAUCAUGUUUUCAUCCUAUGGAGAAGACCGGAGGAAAAUGGCUCCCAGUUUCCACACGAUGAAGAAAUGAAGCACAGAAAGACAAAGUGGCUUGCCCAAUUUCUCUCCGAAAAUCUGUGGCAUAGCAGGGGAUUGAACCUGAGUUUCAACAACUAGAUAAUUCUUCUCAUCAUUUAUACAGCUGCAUAUUAUCUUGUACAGA
Molecule: non-coding RNA, 374 nt
Organism: Pelodiscus sinensis (Chinese soft-shelled turtle)
Lineage: Eukaryota; Metazoa; Chordata; Testudines; Trionychidae
Source: RefSeq, a predicted model, not a curated record